This 222-nucleotide ribosomal RNA is filed under the name uncultured bacterium. RNAcentral's name for it is "partial 16S ribosomal RNA". It matches the Rfam family "Bacterial small subunit ribosomal RNA", at positions 111 to 334 of the family's 1533-position model. The record is from RNAcentral.
UAAUGUCUGGGAAACUGCCUGAUGGAGGGGGAUAACGUACUGGAAACGGUAGCUAAUACCGCAUAAUGUCGCAAGACCAAAGUGGGGGACCGUUCGGGCCUCAUGCCACCAGAUGUGCCCAGAUGGGAUUAGCUAGUAGGUGGGGUAAUGGCUCACCUAGGCGACGAUCCCUAGCUGGUCUGAGAGGAUGACCAGCCACACUGGAACUGAGACACGGUCCAG